This 599-nucleotide ribosomal RNA is filed under the name uncultured bacterium. RNAcentral's name for it is "bacterial SSU rRNA". It matches the Rfam family "Bacterial small subunit ribosomal RNA", at positions 332 to 922 of the family's 1533-position model. The record is from RNAcentral.
GCCCUUCCUACGGGAGGCAGCAGUAGGGAAUCUUCCGCAAUGGACGCAAGUCUGACGGAGCAACGCCGCGUGAGUGAUGAAGGGUUUCGGCUCGUAAAACUCUGUUGUUAAGGAAGAACACUUGAGGUAGUAACUGGCCUUGAGAUGACGGUACUUAACCAGAAAGCCACGGCUAACUACGUGCCAGCAGCCGCGGUAAUACGUAGGUGGCAAGCGUUAUCCGGAAUUAUUGGGCGUAAAGCGCGCGUAGGCGGUCUUUUAAGUCUGAUGUGAAAGCCCCCGGCUCAACCGGGGAGGGUCAUUGGAAACUGGGAGACUUGAGUGCAGAAGAGGAGAGUGGAAUUCCAUGUGUAGCGGUGAAAUGCGCAGAGAUAUGGAGGAACACCAGUGGCGAAGGCGGCUCUCUGGUCUGUAACUGACGCUGAUGUGCGAAAGCGUGGGGAUCAAACAGGAUUAGAUACCCUGGUAGUCCACGCCGUAAACGAUGAGUGCUAAGUGUUAGGGGGUUUCCGCCCCUUAGUGCUGCAGCAAACGCAUUAAGCACUCCGCCUGGGGAGUACGGCCGCAAGGCUGAAACUCAAAGGAAUUGACGGAAGGGC